ACCCGUUAGGUCAGUGGUAGAGCGCUCCACCUGUAAUGGAGAGGUCCCGGGUUUGAUACCCGGACCAGGCG
RNAcentral lists this transfer RNA (71 nucleotides) under Ixodes scapularis (black-legged tick). RNAcentral describes it as "tRNA-Thr". The stretch from base 5 to 65 matches the Rfam family "tRNA", at positions 6 to 65 of the family's 71-position model. From Rfam's summary of the family: Transfer RNA (tRNA) molecules are approximately 80 nucleotides in length. Lineage: Eukaryota; Metazoa; Arthropoda; Arachnida; Ixodida; Ixodidae. The record is from RNAcentral.